AGUGAACGCUGGCGGCGUGCUUAACACAUGCAAGUCGAACGAGAACGGGUUAUAGCUUGCUAUAAUUGUCAGCUAAGUGGCGCACGGGUGAGUAAUGUAUAGGUAAUAUGCCUCUUACUAAGGGAUAACAAAUGGAAACGUUUGCUAAUACCUUAUGCUCCUUAUUAACAUAAGUUAAUAAGGGAAAGAUUUAUUGGUAAGAGAUUAGCCUGUAUUGUAUCAGUUAGUUGGUGGGGUAAUGGCUUACCAAGACUAUGACACAUAACUGGUUUGAGAGGAUGAUCAGUCACACUGGAACUGAGACACGGUCCAGACUCCUACGGGAGGCAGCAGUGGGGAAUAUUGCACAAUGGACGAAAGUCUGAUGCAGCAACGCCGCGUGGAGGAUGACACACUUCGGUGCGUAAACUCCUUUUAUAUGAGAAGAUAAUGACGGUAUUAUAUGAAUAAGCACCGGCUAACUCCGUGCCAGCAGCCGCAGUAA
This 484-nucleotide ribosomal RNA is filed under the name uncultured bacterium. Its description in RNAcentral is "partial 16S ribosomal RNA". It matches the Rfam family "Bacterial small subunit ribosomal RNA", at positions 29 to 523 of the family's 1533-position model. The record is from RNAcentral.